UUUUCCUACGGACGCAGCAGUGGGGAAUAUUGCACAAUGGGGGGAACCCUGAUGCAGCGACGCCGCGUGAGUGAAGAAGUAUUUCGGUAUGUAAAGCUCUAUCAGCAGGGAAGAUAAUGACGGUACCUGACUAAGAAGCCCCGGCUAACUACGUGCCAGCAGCCGCGGUAAUACGUAGGGGGCAAGCGUUAUCCGGAUUUACUGGGGGUAAAGGGGGCGUAGGUGGCAGGGCAAGUCAGAUGUGAAAG
Molecule: ribosomal RNA, 248 nt
Filed under: uncultured bacterium
Lineage: Bacteria
Description: partial 16S ribosomal RNA
Rfam family: Bacterial small subunit ribosomal RNA
Source: RNAcentral